This 439-nucleotide ribosomal RNA is filed under the name uncultured bacterium. Its description in RNAcentral is "partial 16S ribosomal RNA". It matches the Rfam family "Bacterial small subunit ribosomal RNA", at positions 338 to 795 of the family's 1533-position model. The record is from RNAcentral.
CCUACGGGAGGCAGCAGUGGGGAAUAUUGCACAAUGGGCGAAAGCCUGAUGCAGCAACGCCGCGUGAGCGAUGAAGGCCUUCGGGUCGUAAAGCUCUGUCCUCAAGGAAGAUAAUGACGGUACUUGAGGAGGAAGCACCGGCUAACUACGUGCCAGCAGCCGCGGUAAUACGUAGGGGGCUAGCGUUAUCCGGAAUUACUGGGCGUAAGGGGUGCGUAGGUGGUUUCUUAAGUCAGAGGUGAAAGGCUACGGCUCAACCGUAGUAAGCCUUUGAAACUGGGGAACUUGAGUGCAGGAGAGGAGAGUGGAAUUCCUAGUGUAGCGGUGAAAUGCGUAGAUAUUAGGAGGAACACCAGUUGCGAAGGCGGCUCUCUGGACUGUAACUGACACUGAGGCACGAAAGCGUGGGGAGCAAACAGGAUUAGAUACCCGGGUAGUC